RNAcentral lists this unclassified non-coding RNA (329 nucleotides) under soil metagenome. Its description in RNAcentral is "partial contains 5.8S ribosomal RNA, internal transcribed spacer 2, and large subunit ribosomal RNA". The stretch from base 1 to 120 matches the Rfam family "5.8S ribosomal RNA", at positions 35 to 154 of the family's 154-position model. The record is from RNAcentral.
GAUGAAGAACGCAGCGAAAUGCGAUAAGUAAUGUGAAUUGCAGAAUUCAGUGAAUCAUCGAAUCUUUGAACGCACAUUGCGCCCCUUGGUAUCCCGAGGGGCAUGCCUGUUCGAGCGUCAUUUCACCACUCAAGCCUGGCUUGGUGUUGGGCGACGUCCCCUUUAGGGACGCGCCUUGAAACGCUCGGCGGCGUGGCACCGGCUUUAAGCGUAGCAGAAUCUUUCGCUUUGGAAGUCGGGGCCCCGCCUGCCGGAAUACCUACUCGUAAGGUUGACCUCGGAUCAGGCAGGGAUACCCGCUGAACUUAAGCAUAUCAAUAAGCGGAGGA